AUAGCGUAUAUUAAAGUUGUUGCAGUUAAAAAGCUCGUAGUUGAAUUUUGGGUUUGGCCAAUUGGUCCGUUCUUGUAACGAGUACUGGUUGGUUGGGCCUCACCGCCUGGUGAUACGUAAUGUCCUUUAUUGGGUGUUGCGAGUAGCCAGGACCUUUACCUUGAAAAAAUUAGAGUGUUUAAAGCAGGCUUAUGCCGGAAUACAUUAGCAUGGAAUAAUAGAAUAGGACGAUGAUUCUAUUUUGUUGGUUUCUAGGAGCAUCGUAAUGAUUAAUAGGGAUAGUUGGGGGCAUUAGUAUUCAAUUGUCAGAGGUGAAAUUCUUGGAUUUAUUGAAGACUAACUACUG
Molecule: ribosomal RNA, 346 nt
Filed under: uncultured eukaryote
Lineage: Eukaryota
Description: SSU rRNA
Rfam family: Eukaryotic small subunit ribosomal RNA
Source: RNAcentral